This 740-nucleotide ribosomal RNA is filed under the name uncultured Comamonadaceae bacterium. RNAcentral describes it as "bacterial SSU rRNA". It matches the Rfam family "Bacterial small subunit ribosomal RNA", at positions 53 to 779 of the family's 1533-position model. Lineage: Bacteria; Pseudomonadati; Pseudomonadota; Betaproteobacteria; Burkholderiales; Comamonadaceae. The record is from RNAcentral.
ACAUGCAAGUCGAACGGCAGCAUAGGUGCUUGCACCUGAUGGCGAGUGGCGAACGGGUGANUAAUGCAUCGGAACGUGCCCAAUCGUGGGGGAUAACGCAGCGAAAGCUGUGCUAAUACCGCAUACGAUCUACGGAUGAAAGCGGGGGACCUUCGGGCCUCGCGCGAUUGGAGCGGCCGAUGUUAGAUUAGGUAGUUGGUGGGGUAAAGGCUCACCAAGCCGACGAUCUAUAGCUGGUCUGAGAGAACGACCAGCCACACUGGAACUGAGACACGGUCCAGACUCCUACGGGAGGCAGCAGUGGGGAAUUUUGGACAAUGGGCGAAAGCCUGAUCCAGCAAUACCGCGUGCAGGAAGAAGGCCUUCGGGUUGUAAACUGCUUUUGUACGGAACGAAAAGGUCUGCCUUAAUACGGUGGGCUCAUGACGGUACCGUAAGAAUAAGCACCGGCUAACUACGUGCCAGCAGCCGCGGUAAUACGUAGGGUGCGAGCGUUAAUCGGAAUUACUGGGCGUAAAGCGUGCGCAGGCGGCUUUGUAAGACAGACGUGAAAUCCCGGGCUCAACCUGGGAAUUGCGUUUGUGACUUGCAAGGCUAGAGUACGGUAAAAGGGGGGUAGAAUUCCGCGUGUAGCAGUGAAAUGCGUAGAUUUGCGGANGAACACCGAUGCGAAAGGCAGCCCCCUGGGANCUUGUUCUGGACGCUCAUUGCACGAAAGCGUUGGGGAGCAAACCNGGAUU